This 329-nucleotide ribosomal RNA is filed under the name uncultured eukaryote. RNAcentral describes it as "partial 18S ribosomal RNA". It matches the Rfam family "Eukaryotic small subunit ribosomal RNA", at positions 1470 to 1796 of the family's 1831-position model. The record is from RNAcentral.
CCCUUAGAUGUUCUGGGCCGCACGCGCGCUACACUGAUGCAUUCAACGAGUCUAAAACCUGGUCUGAGAGGGCUGGGUAAUCUUUUGAAAGUGCAUCGUGAUUGGGAUAGAUGAUUGCAAUUCUUCAUCUUCAACGAGGAAUGCCUAGUAAACGCAAGUCAUCAGCUUGCAUUGAUUACGUCCCUGCCCUUUGUACACACCGCCCGUCGCUCCUACCGAUUGAACGAUCCGAUGAAAACUGUGGAUUGAGAGUCUGAGUGGGUUCGCCUACCUCAACUUUCGAGAAGCGGUUUAAAUCUUAUCGUUUAGAGGAAGGAGAAGUCGUAACG